UACGUAGGGUCCGAGCGUUGUCCGGAAUUACUGGGCGUAAAGAGCUCGUAGGUGGUUUGUCGCGUUGUUCGUGAAAACUCACAGCUCAACUGUGGGCGUGCGGGCGAUACGGGCAGACUUGAGUACUGCAGGGGAGACUGGAAUUCCUGGUGUAGCGGUGGAAUGCGCAGAUAUCGUUUGGAACGCCAAUGGUGAAAACAGGUAACUGGGAGUGCGCUGACGCUGAGACACGAAAGCCAGGGGAGCGAACGGG
Molecule: ribosomal RNA, 253 nt
Filed under: uncultured bacterium
Lineage: Bacteria
Description: partial 16S ribosomal RNA
Rfam family: Bacterial small subunit ribosomal RNA
Source: RNAcentral